UAUAUACCGGUUCUCGUUAGAUCACCGAAGUCAAGCAUCAUUGGGCGCGGUCAGUACUUGGGUGGGUGACCACCUGGGAACACUGCGUGCCGUU
RNAcentral lists this ribosomal RNA (94 nucleotides) under Caerostris darwini. Lineage: Eukaryota; Metazoa; Arthropoda; Arachnida; Araneae; Araneidae. The record is from RNAcentral.